RNAcentral lists this ribosomal RNA (468 nucleotides) under uncultured bacterium. RNAcentral's name for it is "partial 16S ribosomal RNA". It matches the Rfam family "Bacterial small subunit ribosomal RNA", at positions 28 to 507 of the family's 1533-position model. The record is from RNAcentral.
GACGAACGCUGGCGGCGUGCUUAACACAUGCAAGUCGAACGGAAAGGCCCUGCUUUUGUGGGGUGCUCGUGUGGCGAACGGGUGAGUAUCACGUGAGUAACCUGCCCUUUACUUUGGGAUAACUUCAGGAAACUGGGGCUAAUACCGGAUAGGAGCUCCUGCUGCAUGGUGGGGGUUGGUAAGUUUCGGCGGUUGGGGAUGGACUCGCGGCUUAUCAGCUUGUUGGUGGGGUAGUUGCUUACCAAGGCUUUGACGGGUAGCCGGCAUGAGAGGGUGACCGGCAACAUUGGGACGGAGAUAAGGCCCAGAAGACUACGGGAGGCAGCAGGGGGGAAUAUUGCAAAAUGGGAGGAAGCCUGAUGCAGAAACGCAGCGGGCGGGAUGACGGCCGUCGGGUGGUAAACAGCUUGCGCAUGUGACGAAGAGUGAGUGACGGUAAUGGGUAAAGGAGCAACGGCUAACUACGUG